This 440-nucleotide ribosomal RNA is filed under the name uncultured bacterium. Its description in RNAcentral is "partial 16S ribosomal RNA". It matches the Rfam family "Bacterial small subunit ribosomal RNA", at positions 338 to 794 of the family's 1533-position model. The record is from RNAcentral.
CCUACGGGAGGCAGCAGGAGGGAAUCUUGCACAAUGGGCGAAAGCCAGAUGCAGCGACGCCGCGUGGGCGAUGAAGGCCUUCGGGUUGUAAAGCCCUUCUCCGAGGGAAGAGCAAGGACGGUACCUCGGGAAUAAGCCACGGCUAACUACGUGCCAGCAGCCGCGGUAAGACGUAGGUGGCGAGCGUUAUCCGGAUUCAUUGGGCGUAAAGCGCGUGCAGGGGGUUCUGUAAGUCGGGGGUGAAAGCCCCGGGCUAAACCGGGGGAGGGCAUUCGAUACUGCAGGGCUUGAGGUCAGAAGAGGGGAGCGGAAUUCCCGGUGUAGCGGUAAAAUGCGUAGAUAUCGGGAGGAACACCAGUGGCGAAGGCGGCCCCCUGGUCUGCACCUGACACUGAGACGCGAAAGCGUGGGGAGCGACCGGGAUUAGAUACCCGGGUAGU